UUAUGUUUCUAAAGUCCAGAAUGAAAUUUAAACCCCGUCAUUUAAGGCAACACAGACGUUGUGUCCGUAAUAAAUGAAAAAGAGAUACCAUUUUAAAACGUAAUCAAACUUAACUCUUUCCGUAUCUCCUCCUCGUUGCAGUCUCUUCAUCCUCUCUCCUCAGUUUGACGUCCUUUGACCCAAUUUCACCUGCUGUCAUUUCAGAUGUCUCAUCUCUGCGACCACAACUACUCGAGGACCGAGCCCAGCUGCUCCCAGAGCACCACCACCUGUCAGGAAGCUGACCCACUGAUGUUCCUGCUCCUGCAGGUCUUCUUCAUGCGCCGCCUGGAUGAAGACGUAGUGUUUUGUCG
Molecule: long non-coding RNA, 353 nt
Organism: Trematomus bernacchii (emerald rockcod)
Lineage: Eukaryota; Metazoa; Chordata; Actinopteri; Perciformes; Nototheniidae
Exons: 3
Source: RefSeq, a predicted model, not a curated record